Piliocolobus tephrosceles (Ugandan red Colobus) is the source of this 2689-nucleotide long non-coding RNA. NCBI's taxonomy places the organism in Eukaryota, Metazoa, Chordata, Mammalia, Primates, Cercopithecidae. The record is from Ensembl.
AAGUAAAAGUAAAAGUAAAAGUAAAAGUAACAAUAAUAAUAAUAAUAGUAACACAAUAAUUAACGCUUUUAAAGAAGUAGAGAAUGACGUUCUUUGUGUUUAUUAUCCAAACAGUUAUUAUAACCAGUGUAUAAAUUUGAGUACUUUUGAGUGGUUUAAUGAUAAUGCUAAGGCUUCUGCUACUAACACUGAUGCGACGGUAGUAAACGGUGAUGGUAGUAGUAAUGGUAAUUGUAACGGAAGCAACAGCAAUGACAAAACAAACGAGAGUAAUGACAAAACAAACAAGAGUAAUAAAAAAAGAAGCAAAUACAAUAGUACCGAAUAUGAUAUAUAUAUGCACAAAACGAAAGAAGAAAAUGGAAGCAAAAGAAAAAAUUUAAAUAACCAAAAGAGUUGUGGUGACAUCGAUUUGAACUUACUACUAAAUGAAUCAAAUAUAAAAAUAAAAAAAAGGUACUUAAAAGAUAUAUCUGUAUACAGCUUUUGCUGUGAUUAUAAAUAUAAAGGUUGUGAUUUGUAUUUACAUAUAGCAAAAAAUAAAAAAUUGAAAAAGAGUAAAAUAAAUUAUAAUAUUAAUUAUAAUGAUUUUGUUAAUAAUUAUGACAUAGUUGAUAUGUAUAAUUUAAAAAAGGACAAUAGUUUCUUGAAUAGUGGAAGUUCAGAACAUAAAAAAAAAAAUGUAGAAAAUUUAUUUGAUAAAGAUUACAAGAUUAAUGUUGAUAUGCACAUUGACAUGAAACAGUUGAUACGGCAGUAUAAAAGGGGGAAUGACAUGAUGAAUGGUGUUGAACAGCGUGACAAAACAUGUUAUAUAAGUAAGGAUCGUAUAAGUAAGGAUCGUAAAAGUGACGACCGUAUAAGUGACGACCGUAUAAGUGACGACCGUAUAAGUGACGACCGUAUAAGUAACGACCGUAUAAGUGACGACCGUAUAAGUAACGACCGUAUAAGCAACAACGUUAGGCCUAUUGAUAAAACAAACCGACUAGACUAUAUAAUAUACAACUUUUACAAAAAUUUUGAGUGCCUAAUAAAUUUUAUUAAUAAAUUAAAAAAUCAUUCAACAAAAUAUGAUUAUUUUUAUCCUAAAAUGAUAGGAGAUGUUAAUGAAGAAAUUCGAAAGCACUAUGAUAAAAAAAAAGUAAUAUUACUAAAAAAGUCUAAUAUAAAAUAUAUUCGUAUAUUUAAUAAUGAAGUAAAAAGAAUAAUGAUUUUAUUUUUUGUUCCAUACAAUUCACGUGUUUUAGAUCUUGCUUGUGGGCAUGGACAAGAUAUGCUUAAAUAUAAUAGUGUACAAAAUAAAAUAUAUGUAGGUAUUGAUCUUUCUAAAAAAGAAAUAGAACUAGCGAAAGAAAGGUUAAACCAAAAUAGUAUGAAAGGAUUAUGUAAUAAUGAUAAUUUUAUUUUUUUACAAGGUGAUAUUUUAAAUAAUAAAUUUUAUAAAAAAUGGAAAAAUAAGAAAAUUAAUUUUGAUAUUGUUUGUAUUAAUUUAGCUUUACAUUAUAUAUUGUACAAUGAAAAGUCAUCUAAAAAUUUUUUUAAAAUUAUCGACAAUUUUUUGGAUAAUGAUGGACUGUUGUUGGUUACUACUAUUUCGAUUAGUACUUUGGUGGAUUUUUUGAUGAAUCGUUCGGUCGUAGACUGUGCCGGGGACAACUUUACACUAAAAGUAGAAAACGAAUUAUUUAUGAUAAAAUUUGAUCAAGAAAAUUUGCUGAAGAUUUUUAAAAAUAAGACAUAUAUGGAGGAAUAUAUCGAAUUUAUUAAUAAUAAACACUGUCAUUCUAAAAUAAAAUAUGAUUAUUUUUAUAAUUUAAUGAAAGAGUCGUUUGAAACUACGUUAGGGAUAAAAUAUUAUUUUUAUUUAUAUGACACAAUUGAUGCUAAUGAGUUUGUUAUACCACAGACUUACUUAAAAAAUAAAUUACAAGAAUUAAAUAUGGUUGAACUUUUUAAUAAUACGGCUAUCCGAUUUUUGCAUUAUAUGACUAAUAAUUUAGAAACCUAUGAAAAAUAUAAAAAUAUAAAAUAUUUUAAUUUAAUUAAUAAAACUAUAAAUCAUAAUAUCUUUGAAGACAUAAAAUUAAGAAUAAAUAAAAUACAUGUUUAUAAUAAAGACUCACAACAUUAUUAUGACAUUUGUUCUUUGUAUCAUGUCUACGUGUAUAAAAAAAAUUUCGAUGCUUCAAUAUUGGGUAUAUAGUUAUAGCAACCGAUUUUUGUGUUUUCUCACAUAGCUAUUUUGUUAAGUAUUGUCAUACUGUUACCGUCACAGUUAUUUAUUUACUUAUUUAUUUACUUAUUUAUUUACUUAUUUAUUUACUUAUUUAUUUAUUUACUUAUUUAUUUAUUUAUUUACUUAUUUAUUUAUUUUAUUUAUUUAUUUAUUUCAUUUUUUUUUUUGGAGCUAUCCAUUUUGUUUAUUGUUGUUACUAUUACUGCUACAGUUAUUUAUUUGUUUAUUUACUUUUUGGAGCUAUCCGUUUUGCUUAUACAUUUUUUAUUUAGACUUAAAUAAUAUAUUCUUUAUGAAUUAAAAUGUGAAACCGCAUAAAAUUAUAGUUUCAUUUUUUUAUAAUUUUUUGUGUACGCUCAUCGAUAAUUACUUUUUUUUUUUUACGUACGAUUUUUUUUGUUUUACAUUUAUAAAAAUAAAGCAGAGUAGUGAAUUUUUUUUCUUAAAUGU